UACGUAGGUUGCGAGCGUUAUCCGGAUUCAUUGGGCGUAAAGAGCUUGUAGGUGGCUAGGUAAGUUGGACGUGAAAACUCUGGGCUUAACUUGGAGAGGCCGUUCAAUACUGCAUAGCUAGAGGAUGUCAGAGGGAAGUGGAAUUCCUGGUGUAGCAGUGAAAUGCGUAGAUAUCAGGAGGAACACCCGUGGCGAAGGCGGCUUCCUGGGACAUUACUGACACUGAGAAGCGAAAGCUAGGGGAGCAAACGGG
This 253-nucleotide ribosomal RNA is filed under the name uncultured bacterium. RNAcentral describes it as "partial 16S ribosomal RNA". It matches the Rfam family "Bacterial small subunit ribosomal RNA", at positions 524 to 776 of the family's 1533-position model. The record is from RNAcentral.